This 498-nucleotide ribosomal RNA is filed under the name uncultured bacterium. RNAcentral's name for it is "partial 16S ribosomal RNA". It matches the Rfam family "Bacterial small subunit ribosomal RNA", at positions 30 to 523 of the family's 1533-position model. The record is from RNAcentral.
AUUGAACGCUGGCGGCAUGCUUUACACAUGCAAGUCGAACGGUAACAGGCCGCAAGGUGCUAACGAGUGGCGAACGGGUGAGUAAUGUAUCGGAACGUGCCCAGUCGUGGGGGAUAACGCAGCGAAAGCUGCGCUAAUACCGCAUACGAUCUAUGGAUGAAAGCGGGGGACCGUAAGGCCUCGCGCGAUUGGAGCGGCCGAUAUCAGAUUAGGUAGUUGGUGGGGUAAAGGCUCACCAAGCCAACGAUCUGUAGCUGGUCUGAGAGGACGACCAGCAACACUGGGCCUGAGACACGGCCCAGACUCCUACGGGAGGCAGCAGUGGGGAAUUUUGGACAAUGGGCGCAAGCCUGAUCCAGCAAUGCCGCGUGCAGGAAGAAGGCCUUCGGGUUGUAAACUGCUUUUGUACGGAACGAAACGGUCUGGGUUAAUACCUCGGGCUAAUGACGGUACCGUAAGAAUAAGCACCGGCUAACUACGUGCCAGCCGCCGCCGUAA